This 282-nucleotide unclassified non-coding RNA is filed under the name Hevea brasiliensis (rubber tree). The record is from RNAcentral. Lineage: Eukaryota; Viridiplantae; Streptophyta; Magnoliopsida; Malpighiales; Euphorbiaceae.
GUAGGCUCUACAAUCCUGAUGAUGCGUCAGAAUCCUAUGGAGAGGAUAUUGCAGAUACAGAGACAGAAAGAUCUACUGAUGGUAGUGAUGAGGGUGAGUAUGAAGAUAGUUUUAUUGAUGAUGCUGAUCCAGAGGUCAUCCCAUCUUCUCCUGUAUCUAUUGAUGGAGUGGGUGAGGAGAUGUUGCAUAAGAGGAAACUUAAGAAUGAGAAGGCUAAAAAUAGACGACUUAGGAAAAAGUACCUGCCCUGUCAGUCUGACGAUGACUACACUUCACAGCAAC